Molecule: ribosomal RNA, 460 nt
Filed under: uncultured bacterium
Lineage: Bacteria
Description: partial 16S ribosomal RNA
Rfam family: Bacterial small subunit ribosomal RNA
Source: RNAcentral
CCUACGGGAGGCUGCAGUGAGGAAUAUUAGUCAAUGGGCGGGAGCCUGAACCAGCCAAGUCGCGUGAGGGAAGACGGUCCUAUGGAUUGUACACCUCUUUAGGCGGGGAGCAAUGCCGGGCACGUGUGCACGGAGGGAGAGUACCCGCAGAAUAAGCAUCGGCUAACUCCGUGCCAGCAGCCGCGGUAAUACGGAGGAUGCGAGCGUUAUCCGGAUUUAUUGGGUUUACAGGGUGAGUAGGCGGAUUUUUAAGUCAGCGGUAAAAUGUCCGGGCUCAACCCGGGCCGGCCGUUGAAACUGGGGAUCUUGAGUGGGCGAGAAGGAUGCGGAAUGCGUGGUGUAGCGGUGAAAUGCAUAGAUAUCACGCAGAACUCCGAUUGCGAAGGCAGCAUACCGGCGCCCGACUGACGCUGAGGCACGAAAGCGUGGGGAUCGAACAGGAUUAGAUACCCGAGUAGUC